RNAcentral lists this ribosomal RNA (1074 nucleotides) under Triticum aestivum (bread wheat). Its description in RNAcentral is "partial small subunit ribosomal RNA". The record is from RNAcentral. Lineage: Eukaryota; Viridiplantae; Streptophyta; Magnoliopsida; Poales; Poaceae.
AUGACUCCUACGGAAGAAGAUGCCGAUAAAGACCUGACGAUGGAUGGAUCCGGUCGAAAGGAAAUGCCGGACUUGAAGAUGGAGAAAUGCAGACUGAGAAGGUCGCCGCGUAAGGUGGCGCAGCCCUGUGCCGCAGCAGCAAAAGCAGCAGUAGCAUGCGAGGCCUCAAGUAAAGGGAAGCAAAGAGGCGCCCGUGGGCCAAAAAAGCUCACUGGCUUGCAGGGGUCAGAUGCCUCAGUAAUCCCUUCCAUUCGCUUCGGCUUCAACACCAAACAGGUGAUGAGCCUGUCGACUUUUUGGUACCCUCAUUUCAAGCGUACGGGGUUAGGAGCACUACUAAGCACUCGAGCAUGUGGUGGUGGAGACAAGAAAAUGUACUGGAGUUUACUUAGAUGCAUAGAUUCAAAGCGGAAGACCAUGACAUUCCCUGAUAAACAAGUUAGAUCCAUCUCGGUACAGGACGUAGAGCAUAUUACAGGCAUCCAGUCUGGACCUGUGCCUGUCCCAACACACCUGAGCCCAUCCAGCAGGCUGGAUGUGUUGUGGCAGGUUCAGGAUAUGCAUGGUCUAGCACGGACAGUAAAAGGCACAAUACAAGUUAAUCAACUAAUGAGUGUCAUCGGCCGUUUUGAUCGAAGAACAACUAAUGAGAAAGAGAUUGACAUUGCAAAUGUUGCCUACACUCUGCUAGUGUGUGCCACCAUGAUUUGUCCUAGAUACACAAGUGCAGAUGUGCCUGACGAAGUCCUUCUAUGUGUACUGGAUCCCUCUAAAAUUCACACAUACAACUGGGGUCAGUAUCUGCUUGAUGGAAUCAUGGUAAGCGCGGACAAGGCCCAAAAACUUGAGGCUGAGCAGGUCAAUAUCGCCGUAGUAGGAGGCUUCCAACUUGUGCCCCAAAUACUCUUUGUGGAUUGGAUCAAUUUUGAAGCACACUGCAUGAUGGACAAUGCCUGGCCGUGUGUCUUUGCAUACACAUACGAAAAACUAAAAGACAUGUUUGCACUUGCAAGAGAAGCUACAAGUCGUUUGAAAGUAAUAACUCUGACUCUUUUCUCUUAUGUCUAUUUUUAA